AUCCAGUAGACGAGUCACAAACAGGACGAAAUGCGCAUGCUGGAU
RNAcentral lists this non-coding RNA (45 nucleotides) under Trichobilharzia regenti. Lineage: Eukaryota; Metazoa; Platyhelminthes; Trematoda; Strigeidida; Schistosomatidae. The record is from RNAcentral.